AACGCACAUUGCGCCCUUUGGCAUUCCGAGGGGCAUGCCCGUUCGAGCGUCAUUACUACCCUCAAGCCUGGCUUGGUAUUGGGCGUCGGGGAACCCCGCGCCUCGAUUUCGCCGGCUGGACGACCGCGAUCUCAGCGUUGUGACAUGACAAACCGCUGGCGAGAGCGGGCGGCCGCGCCGUCAAAACACUUUCGAAAGGUUGACCUCGGAUCGGGUAGGAAUACCCGCUGAACUUAA
RNAcentral lists this unclassified non-coding RNA (237 nucleotides) under uncultured fungus. RNAcentral describes it as "partial contains 5.8S ribosomal RNA, internal transcribed spacer 2, and large subunit ribosomal RNA". Lineage: Eukaryota; Fungi. The record is from RNAcentral.